This 1061-nucleotide long non-coding RNA is filed under the name Equus caballus (horse). RNAcentral describes it as "lncRNA (ENSECAG00000035480.3)". The record is from RNAcentral. Lineage: Eukaryota; Metazoa; Chordata; Mammalia; Perissodactyla; Equidae.
AUUAUCUCUCAAAGGUCCCACCUCCAAAGACCAUCACAUUGGAAAUUAGGUAUUCUACAUAUGAAUUUUCGGGGGACAAAAAUAUUCAAUCCAUAGCCCUCUGGCUCAUCCCAGCUGAUUUAGGGCUGACUUGUUAAUAAGCAAGCAGUUAGGAAGACAUACUAAGCUCAAACGCAAAAGUUUGUAGCUUUUGUUCUCAAAGAUGGUUGCUACACUUCUAAGCACUGAGUCUCUCUUCCAAUCAAGAAGAAGGAAGAAAGAAUUAAAGGUUAAAGAGGUAUGUCGGCUGAGCCUGUGCUCUUUAAAAGCUUUCCCAGAAACGCCAGUCACCCAGUUCUGGUUAAUUUUGAAUGAUUGGAAGUGAGUUACAUGGCCAUCUCCUCAUGCAGGAGAUUCUGGAAGCAACCAGCCCACCAUCCUUAGGUGCUUUCCAAAAGUCAUCUCAUCAGCUUGACAGAAGACACCUUUAUCACUGUCAACACUUCCGAAAUUCCAAGGGUUUUGGGAGCAAUGAGCCAGGAACAUGGAGGAAAACCAAAGCCAAUGAAAAUAAGUUGAUUCCUCAUAAUUUUCCUCUGGCCUUGAUCCUCAGGAAUCCCAGAGGGGCAUUGGAAUUUGAGCGAGCAAGAAAUGCACUUUCUGUUAAGCCACUGAGAUUUGAGAGAAUGUUCAUUUUAGAAGAUAGCACUACUCACUUUAAUGUAUACAAGUUGUUAGCACCUCAGUGUGGAUACUGUUCUUAACUGGUAUUUGCAUAUCCUCCAAUCUGUGAGUCCUUGAAGAGCCUCCAGAUCCUGUUGAAGGUUGCUAAUGGACCUUGAAUCCCAUGCAGUCCUGGACGGGACACGUGUUCAGCUACCUAACAACUUCCAUUUUUAGUCCCUGAAACUCACAGGGCAUUAGAAAGCACCUUAAGCAAAGGGAACCAGUUUGUCACAUCUGUAGGGGUCUGGGUAGCAGUGGAGAAGAUCUUCCUUCAAUUAAGAAAACAAGACAGAAAUUAAGACACCCAAUAAUCAUUUUGUUUCAUAAGUAUUAUGAAGUCCACAGAUGUAUACCAG